Molecule: long non-coding RNA, 318 nt
Filed under: Prunus dulcis (almond)
Lineage: Eukaryota; Viridiplantae; Streptophyta; Magnoliopsida; Rosales; Rosaceae
Description: sRNA ncRNA
Source: RNAcentral
AGGUCGUUGCCUAUUUGUCUAUUGGCUAUGAUCUUUCCACGAUCAACAUUUGGUAAAAGGGUGGCUCAAAAUGGUCAGAGAGGUGUAUGUGCAUGUAAGCUCACGAUUGGUUGGAAUGGUCUGUGCUUUGCUAAUGGUUAUCACUUUCUGUGAAGAAAUUCUUAGCCAUUGAAAGAUUCAUUUUGGUUAUGAUGAUGACCAGAUUUGAUGCAUGGAUUGGGGCGGUGAGGAUAAUCAAAAGACUUUGUACACUGGCGAUACUUUCAACGAGUAGAUUUAUGAGAUCUAGAAAAGCAGAAUCUUUUCUCUCUCAAAAAA